CAGCAUUCUGAACAGCAACGCUCAUCAUAUAAACAUGAGGUUUCCUCCAAAAGGAAUGAUGACUAAUGCUUUGAGGAGCAAGCCCAGAAAAACCCGCCAGUACCAAGAGGGUGUCCUCAACAAGCACCUGGGGCACUUAUUAUUCUAACUGAAGGGACCAGAGCUUCCCCAGGAAGGGAAGAGGAGAGAAAUGAAGACCGUCUGUGUUCAUGUUUGCCAAAAACAAAAGGCUGAGAAAUCUCUGAGAGACUCUACAUGGGAAGGCACUAAUCGAAGCACCUCAUUUAAAGUGGGAAAAGCUUUGCUAAGGGCAGAUGAUUCAGCACGGUAUCCUUCGAUGAGUACUGUCAUCUCAAAUCAUUUUUAAGAAGAAAAGUGCAACCCGCUGGAGAAAGAGAGGGACUCCGAGGAAGGAGAGAGAGAAGAGCAUCAAACACAAAUGAUGAUCUCCUAGGACAGUGGCAGCUUCCGAGAACGCACAGGAAAGUGACCAGGGAAAGAAUGAUUCCAUCUCCAGGAAUCCCUGGUGCUCUUCAGAGCCCAGACAGGCCCCUGCUGGGCCAUGGUAACU
Molecule: long non-coding RNA, 571 nt
Organism: Nomascus leucogenys (northern white-cheeked gibbon)
Lineage: Eukaryota; Metazoa; Chordata; Mammalia; Primates; Hylobatidae
Exons: 5
Source: RefSeq, a predicted model, not a curated record